RNAcentral lists this ribosomal RNA (252 nucleotides) under uncultured bacterium. RNAcentral describes it as "partial 16S ribosomal RNA". It matches the Rfam family "Bacterial small subunit ribosomal RNA", at positions 524 to 776 of the family's 1533-position model. The record is from RNAcentral.
UACGUAGGGUGCGAGCGUUAAUCGGAAUUACUGGGCGUAAAGCGUGCGCAGGCGGUUCGUUGUGUCCGGUGAAAAGCCCCGAGCUUAACAUGGGAAUGGCAUUGGAAACUGGCGAGCUGGAGUGUGGCAGAGGGGGGUGGAAUUCCACGUGUAGCAGUGAAAUGCGUAGAGAUGUGGAGGAACACCAGUGGCGAAGGCGACUCUUUGGUCUGUAACUGACGCUGAGGCGCGAAAGCGUGGGGAGCAAACAGG